This is a non-coding RNA of Bos taurus (domestic cattle), 73 nucleotides long. The record is from Rfam. Lineage: Eukaryota; Metazoa; Chordata; Mammalia; Artiodactyla; Bovidae.
UCCCUGGUGGUCUAGUGGCUAGGAGUCUGCAUUUCCACUGCUGGGGGCAUGGGUUCAAUCCCUGGUCAGGGAA